AGAUCAUGAUGCGGGCAAUUCCUUAGUAGACUUUUGUACCUCUCCCAUGCCUCAUAAAGGGAUUCUCUGCUUUGUUGUUCAAAGUAGGCAAUAGCUUUCUGCAACU
Molecule: small nucleolar RNA, 106 nt
Organism: Lactuca sativa (garden lettuce)
Lineage: Eukaryota; Viridiplantae; Streptophyta; Magnoliopsida; Asterales; Asteraceae
Source: RefSeq, a predicted model, not a curated record